This is a long non-coding RNA of Myotis brandtii (Brandt's bat), 210 nucleotides long. RefSeq lists it as uncharacterized. The record is from RefSeq and is a predicted model, not a curated record. The transcript has 2 exons. Lineage: Eukaryota; Metazoa; Chordata; Mammalia; Chiroptera; Vespertilionidae.
UUUAACACAUCUAAUUCAUAAAAUCCUGAUGAAAGGGCACAGGAAAGAUCAUAAAGAAAAAAUAGAAGGUUUACAAAAUGUGGAUGGUUUGAAAAAACAAAGGUGAUUGAGGAAUAAAACCUGAGCUGAAAACAAUUUAGGUUCUCUGCCAGGUGGACUCUCAUUAUUGCCCCAGUUGCUUAGAAAAUAUGCCAUCGGCUGAAGCCAAAC